This 477-nucleotide ribosomal RNA is filed under the name Dermestes sp. KLB-2011. Its description in RNAcentral is "partial 16S ribosomal RNA". It matches the Rfam family "Bacterial large subunit ribosomal RNA", at positions 1848 to 2585 of the family's 2925-position model. The record is from RNAcentral. Lineage: Eukaryota; Metazoa; Arthropoda; Insecta; Coleoptera; Dermestidae.
AGGUCUGACCUGCUCGCUGACAUUUAGUUGAAGGGCCGCAGUAUUCUGACUGUGCAAAGGUAGCAUAAUAAUUAGCUUUUUUAUUGGAAGCUUGUAUGAAUGGUUGGACGAGGAAUUUACUGUCUCAAUUUUAUUUAAUUUGAAUUUAACUUUUUAGUAAAAAGGCUUGGAUGAUUUUAAAAGACGAGAAGACCCUAUAGAGUUUUAUAUUAGUUUGAUUAUUUUUAUUUUUGGUAAUUUUAAUUUUUAAUUUUUAUUAGUAUUUGAUUGGGGUGAUUGAAAAAUUUAAUAAACUUUUUCUUUUUAUUUCAUUGAUUUAUGUUUUUUGAUCCAGUGUUUCUGAUUAUAAGAUUAAAUUACCUUAGGGAUAACAGCGUUAUUUCUUUUGAGAGUUCUUAUCGAAAUUGAAGUUUGCGACCUCGAUGUUGGAUUAAAAUUUAUUUUUGGUGUAGAAGCUGAAUUAUUAAGUCUGUCGAC